Molecule: ribosomal RNA, 253 nt
Filed under: uncultured bacterium
Lineage: Bacteria
Description: partial 16S ribosomal RNA
Rfam family: Bacterial small subunit ribosomal RNA
Source: RNAcentral
UACGGAGGGGGCGAGCGUUGUCCGAAGUUACUGGGCGUAAAGCGCGCGUAGGCGGGUUGGUAAGUCCGCUGUGAAAGCCCGGAGCUCAACUCCGGGGGGUCGGUGGAUACUGCCAGUCUUGAAGGUGCUAGGGGGAGAUGGAAUUACCGGUGUAGCGGUGAAAUGCGUAGAUAUCGGUAGGAACACCAGUGGCGAAGGCGGUCUCCUGGGGCAUUCUUGACGCUGAUGCGCGAAAGCUGGGGGAGCAAACGGG